RNAcentral lists this ribosomal RNA (497 nucleotides) under uncultured bacterium. RNAcentral describes it as "partial 16S ribosomal RNA". It matches the Rfam family "Bacterial small subunit ribosomal RNA", at positions 28 to 507 of the family's 1533-position model. The record is from RNAcentral.
GAUGAACGCUGGCGGCGUGCCUAAUACAUGCAAGUCGAGCGAACAGACGAGGAGCUUGCUCCUCUGACGUUAGCGGCGGACGGGUGAGUAACACGUGGAUAACCUACCUAUAAGACUGGGAUAACUUCGGGAAACCGGAGCUAAUACCGGAUAAUAUAUUGAACCGCAUGGUUCAAUAGUGAAAGACGGUUUUGCUGUCUCUUAUAGAUGGAUCCGCGUCGCAUUAGCUAGUUGGUAAGGUAACGGCUUACCAAGGCAACGAUGCGUAGCCGACCUGAGAGGGUGAUCAGCCACACUGGAACUGAGACACGGUCCAGACUCCUACGGGAGGCAGCAGUAGGGAAUCUUCCGCAAUGGGCGAAAGCCUGACGGAGCAACGCCGCGUGAGUGAUGAAGGUCUUCGGAUCGUAAAACUCUGUUAUUAGGGAAGAACAAAUGUGUAAGUAACUAUGCACGUCUUGACGGUACCUAAACAGAAAGCCACGGCUAACUACGUG